Molecule: ribosomal RNA, 112 nt
Filed under: Caerostris darwini
Lineage: Eukaryota; Metazoa; Arthropoda; Arachnida; Araneae; Araneidae
Source: RNAcentral
AACGGCUAUGUCAUGCUGAAUAUACCGGUUCUCGUUAGAUCAGCGACGUCAAGCAUCAUCGGGCGCGGUCAGUACUUGGCUGGAUGACCACCUGGGAACAACGCGUGCCGUU